RNAcentral lists this small nuclear RNA (110 nucleotides) under Ovis aries (sheep). The record is from RNAcentral. Lineage: Eukaryota; Metazoa; Chordata; Mammalia; Artiodactyla; Bovidae.
GUGCUCGCUUCCGCGCAGCACAUUACUAAAAUUGGAACGAUACAGAAGAAGAUUAGCAUGGCCCCUGUUAGAUGCAGAGGAAGGCCUUUGACAAAAUUCAACAUCCAUUU